RNAcentral lists this non-coding RNA (518 nucleotides) under Amborella trichopoda. RNAcentral describes it as "Bacterial large subunit ribosomal RNA". It matches the Rfam family "Bacterial large subunit ribosomal RNA", at positions 1354 to 1781 of the family's 2925-position model. Lineage: Eukaryota; Viridiplantae; Streptophyta; Magnoliopsida; Amborellales; Amborellaceae. The record is from Rfam by way of RNAcentral.
CCUAUGAGCAUACACUAGACCCUUCAAAGCCCUCGCCUUCUUAGCCCUGCGAAGUCUACCAUGGGUGAAGUAGGCUCAAAUCUUUGAAGCGUGAGCCAAUCCACCAAGCUAGUCCCGAGGGACGGAGGAGGCUAGGUUAGCCGAAAGGUGGUUUAUCGGUUCAAGGACGCAAGGUGACCUUGCUUUUUUUUUCAGGGUAAGAAGGGGUAGAGGAAAUGCCUCGAGCCAAUGUCCGAGUACUAGGCGCUACGGCGCUAAAGUAACCCAUGCCAUACUCCCAGGAAAAGCUCGAACGACCUUCAACAAAAGGGUACCUGUACCCGAAACCAACACAGGUGGGUAGGUAGAGAUUACCUAGGGGCACGAGACAACUCUCUCUAAGGAACUUGGCAAAAUAGCCCCGUAACUUCGGGAGAAUGGGUGCCUCCUCACACACCAACCUAAUAGGGCAAACCAAACACCUCUUCCGGGAUCCAGAAGGAGACGAGCACCCAGGUCAGCCUGUCGAAGGAGCCACA